UACAGAGGGUGCAAGCGUUGCUCGGAAUUAUUGGGCGUAAAGGGUAGGUAGGUGGUCUCAUUUGUCGGGGGUGAAAGCCUUGGGCUUAACCCAAGAAGUGCCUUCGAAACGGUGAGACUAGAGUUCUGGAGAGGGUCGUGGAAUUCCCGGUGUAGCGGUGAAAUGCGUAGAGAUCGGGAGGAACACCAGAGGCGAAGGCGGCGACCUGGAUAGAUACUGACACUCAACUACGAAAGCGUGGGGAGCAAACAGGG
Molecule: ribosomal RNA, 254 nt
Filed under: uncultured bacterium
Lineage: Bacteria
Description: partial 16S ribosomal RNA
Rfam family: Bacterial small subunit ribosomal RNA
Source: RNAcentral